AUUGAACGCUGGCGGCAGGCCUAACACAUGCAAGUCGAGCGGAUGAAGGGAGCUUGCUCCUGAAUUCAGCGGCGGACGGGUGAGUAAUGCCUAGGAAUCUGCCUGGUAGUGGGGGAUAACGUCCGGAAACGGGCGCUAAUACCGCAUACGUCCUGAGGGAGAAAGUGGGGGAUCUUCGGACCUCACGCUAUCAGAUGAGCCUAGGUCGGAUUAGCUAGUUGGUGGGGUAAAGGCCUACCAAGGCGACGAUCCGUAACUGGCCUGAGAGGAUGACCAGUCACACUGGAACUGAGACACGGUCCAGACUCCUACGGGAGGCAGCAGUGGGGAAUAUUGGACAAUGGGCGAAAGCCUGAUCCAGCCAUGCCGCGUGUGUGAAGAGGGUCUUCGGAUUGUAAAGCACUUUAAGUUGGGAGGAAGGGCAGUAAGUUAAUACCUUGCUGUUUUGACGUUACCAACAGAAUAAGCACCGGCUAACUUCGUG
RNAcentral lists this ribosomal RNA (484 nucleotides) under uncultured bacterium. Its description in RNAcentral is "partial 16S ribosomal RNA". It matches the Rfam family "Bacterial small subunit ribosomal RNA", at positions 30 to 507 of the family's 1533-position model. The record is from RNAcentral.